RNAcentral lists this ribosomal RNA (486 nucleotides) under uncultured bacterium. RNAcentral's name for it is "bacterial SSU rRNA". It matches the Rfam family "Bacterial small subunit ribosomal RNA", at positions 30 to 512 of the family's 1533-position model. The record is from RNAcentral.
AUUGAACGCUGGCGGCAUGCCUUACACAUGCAAGUCGAACGGUAACAGGUCUUCGGAUGCUGACGAGUGGCGAACGGGUGAGUAAUACAUCGGAACGUGCCCGAUCGUGGGGGAUAACGCAGCGAAAGCUGUGCUAAUACCGCAUACGAUCUACGGAUGAAAGCGGGGGAUCGCAAGACCUCGCGCGGACGGAGCGGCCGAUGGCAGAUUAGGUAGUUGGUGGGAUAAAAGCUUACCAAGCCGACGAUCUGUAGCUGGUCUGAGAGGACGACCAGCCACACUGGGACUGAGACACGGCCCAGACUCCUACGGGAGGCAGCAGUGGGGAAUUUUGGACAAUGGGCGCAAGCCUGAUCCAGCCAUGCCGCGUGCAGGAUGAAGGCCUUCGGGUUGUAAACUGCUUUGUACGGAACGAAAAGACUCUCUCUAAUACAGGGGUGAAUGACGGUACCGUAAGAAUAAGACACCGGCUAACUACGUGCCAGC